AUGGCGUUAGUGCGGGAGCCGAUGGUGACGUACGACGGCGGGUUCGACGCGCUCGUCUACGGUGGCCACGACGCGCUGCUCGGAGGCGUGGACACGACGGUGCUCUUCGGGGGCUACAACUACGCCCACGACGAGCCAGCCGGCGCCGCCGGCGCCUACGUGCCGGAGAGCGCGAGCUGGGCGGGCGCGGGGAUGUCCGUGCUCGCAUUCGACCGUGCCGCGCCCGCGCGAGGCCCCGGCGCCCAGGUAGUCGCGCAGGAGGAGGCGGACUGCGACGCGUGGAUGGACGCCAUGGACGAGGACCAGCACGCAGGGCCGGCGUCGACCAUAGGGUUCGAUCCAGCCACGGGCUGCUUCAGCCUGAUGCAGAGCUCCGGCGGCGCGGGGCGGCCGUUCGGGCUCCUGUUCCCGAGCACGUCCAACGGCUCGCCCGACGCCCCGGCGCCGGCGCGCGGUUCCUCGAAGCGAUCGUACGCGGCGCGCGUGCAGGAUGCGGAGCCGCGGGCCUCCAAGAAGCCGUGCGGCGCGCGCAGGAAGACGAGUAAGGCGAAGCCGGCGGCGCGCACCACCACCUCGCCCAAGGGGGACCCGCAAAGCCUCGCCGCAAAGAACCGACGGGAGAAGAUCAGCGAGCGGCUGCGGACACUGCAGGAGCUGGUUCCCAACGGCACCAAGGUCGACAUGGUCACCAUGCUCGAGAAGGCCGUCAGCUACGUCAAGUUCCUGCAGCUGCAAGUCAAGGUGCUGGCGACGGACGAGUUCUGGCCGGCGCAAGGGGGAACAGCGCCGGAAAUCUCCCAGGUGAAGGAGGCGCUGGACGCCAUCUUGUCGUCGCAGAGGGGGCAACUGGACUGA
RNAcentral lists this ribosomal RNA (855 nucleotides) under Triticum aestivum (bread wheat). RNAcentral describes it as "partial small subunit ribosomal RNA". Lineage: Eukaryota; Viridiplantae; Streptophyta; Magnoliopsida; Poales; Poaceae. The record is from RNAcentral.